Molecule: ribosomal RNA, 600 nt
Filed under: Crassimarginatella papulifera
Lineage: Eukaryota; Metazoa; Bryozoa; Gymnolaemata; Cheilostomatida; Calloporidae
Description: SSU rRNA
Rfam family: Eukaryotic small subunit ribosomal RNA
Source: RNAcentral
GGAGUGGAGCCUGCGGCUUAAUUUGACUCAACACGGGAAACCUCACCCGGCCCGAACACUGUUAUGACAGACAGGUUGAGAGCUCUUUCUCGAUUCAGUGGUUGGUGGUGCAUGGCCGUUCUUAGUUCGUGGAGCGAUCUGUCUGGUUAAUUCCGAUAACGAACGAGACUCUUGCCUGCUAAAUAGACAGCGUCGACUUUUGUCGGCGACCGUCCGCUUCUUAGAGGGACAAGCGGCUUUUAGCCGCGUGAAGCCGAGAGCAAUAACAGGUCAGUGAUGCCCUCAGAUGUUCGGGGCCGCACGCGCGCUACACUGUUUGCAUCAGCGUGUUUCUCCCGCGCCGGCUGGCGCGGGCAACCCGUUGAACCGCAAACGUGCUAGGGAUCGGAGAUUGCAAUUGUUCUCCGUGAACGAGGAAUUCCUUGUACUGGCGAGUCAUCAGCUCGCGGGGAAUCUGUCCCUGCCCUUUGUACACACCGCCCGUCGCUACUACCGAUUGAGUGGUUUAGUGAGGCUCACGGACUGCGAGUGGCAAACGGCGUCCUCGGGCGUCGCGUCGCGAGCGGAAAGUGAGACGAACUUGAUCACUUCUAGGAAGUA